RNAcentral lists this ribosomal RNA (479 nucleotides) under uncultured bacterium. Its description in RNAcentral is "bacterial SSU rRNA". It matches the Rfam family "Bacterial small subunit ribosomal RNA", at positions 29 to 525 of the family's 1533-position model. The record is from RNAcentral.
AUUGAACGCUGGCGGCAUGCCUUACACAUGCAAGUCGAACGGCAGCACGGGAGCAAUCCUGGUGGCGAGUGGCGAACGGGUGAGUAAUAUAUCGGAACGUGCCCAAUCGUGGGGGAUAACGCAGCGAAAGCUGUGCUAAUACCGCAUACGAUCUACGGAUGAAAGCGGGGGACUCGCAAGGGCCUCGCGCGAAUGGAGCGGCCGAUAUCAGAUUAGCUAGUUGGCGGGGUAAAGGCCCACCAAGGCGACGAUCUGUAGCUGGUCUGAGAGGACGACCAGCCACACUGGAACUGAGACACGGUCCAGACUCCUACGGGAGGCAGCAGUGGGGAAUUUUGGACAAUGGGCGCAAGCCUGAUCCAGCAAUGCCGCGUGCAGGAUGAAGGUCUUAGGAUUGUAAAAUCCUUUCACCGGUGAAGAUAAUGACUGUAGCCGGAGAAGAAGCCCCGGCUAACUUCGUGCCAGCAGCCGCGGUAAAG